RNAcentral lists this transfer RNA (88 nucleotides) under Cutaneotrichosporon oleaginosum. RNAcentral's name for it is "Trichosporon oleaginosus tRNA". It matches the Rfam family "tRNA". Rfam says of the family: Transfer RNA (tRNA) molecules are approximately 80 nucleotides in length. Their secondary structure includes four short double-helical elements and three loops (D, anti-codon, and T loops). Further hydrogen bonds mediate the characteristic L-shaped molecular structure. tRNAs have two regions of fundamental functional importance: the anti-codon, which is responsible for specific mRNA codon recognition, and the 3' end, to which the tRNAs corresponding amino acid is attached (by aminoacyl-tRNA synthetases). tRNAs cope with the degeneracy of the genetic code in two manners: having more than one tRNA (with a specific anti-codon) for a particular amino acid; and 'wobble' base-pairing, i.e. permitting non-standard base-pairing at the 3rd anti-codon position. The record is from Rfam by way of RNAcentral. Lineage: Eukaryota; Fungi; Basidiomycota; Tremellomycetes; Trichosporonales; Trichosporonaceae.
GUUCAAUUGGCGCAGCGGUUAGCGCGGCAGAUUGCAAUUACAAUUGUAAUACAUCUGUAGGUCCUUGGUUCAAUUCCGAGAUUGAACU